UUCCGGUUGAUCCCGCCGGACCUGACUGCUAUCGGAUUGAUACUAAGCCAUGCGAGUCUUUGCAGUAAUGCAAGGCAUACGGCUCAGUAACACGUAGUCAACUUACCCUAUGGACGAGGAUAAUCUCGGGAAACUGAGCAUAAUACUCGAUAGAUCAUAAUGCCUGGAAUGGUUUAUGGUUGAAAUGAUUCGUCGCCAUAGGAUGGGACUGCGGCCUAUCAGCUUGUUGGUGAGGUAAUGGCCCACCAAGGCGAUUACAGGUACGGGCUCUGAGAGGAGAAGCCCGGAGAUGGGUACUGAGACAAGGACCCAGGCCCUAUGGGGCGCAGCAGGCGAGAAAACUUUGCAAUGUGCGAAAGCACGACAAGGUUAAUCCGAGUGAUUUCUGCUAAAGAAAUCUUUUGCAAGUCAUAAAACCACUAGUGAAUAAGGGGUGGGCAAGUUCUGGUGUCAGCCGCCGCGGUAAAACCAGCACCUCAAGUGGUCAGGAGGAUUAUUGGGCCUAAAGCAUCCGUAGCCGGCUCUGUAAGUUUUCGGUUAAAUCCAUGUGCUCAACAUAUGGGCUGCCGAAAAUACUGCAUAGCUAGGGAGUGGGAGAGGUAGACGGUACUCGGUAGGAAGGGGUAAAAUCCUUUGAUCUAUCGAUGACCACCUGUGGCGAAGGCGGUCUACCAGAACACGUUCGACGGUGAGGGAUGAAAGCUGGGGGAGCAAACCGGAUUAGAUACCCGGGUAGUCCCAGCUGUAAACGAUGCAGACUCGAUGAUGCAUUGGCAUAUAGCCAGUGCAGUGUCGCAGGGAAGCCGUUAAGUCUGCCGCCUGGGAAGUACGUACGCAAGUAUGAAACUUAAAGGAAUUGGCGGGGGAGCACCACAAGGGGUGAAGCCUGCGGUUCAAUUGGAUUCAACGCCGGG
This 914-nucleotide ribosomal RNA is filed under the name uncultured marine archaeon. Its description in RNAcentral is "bacterial SSU rRNA". It matches the Rfam family "Archaeal small subunit ribosomal RNA", at positions 1 to 922 of the family's 1478-position model. The record is from RNAcentral.